Molecule: transfer RNA, 35 nt
Filed under: Canis lupus (wolf)
Lineage: Eukaryota; Metazoa; Chordata; Mammalia; Carnivora; Canidae
Description: partial tRNA-Ala
Source: RNAcentral
UUCAAUUGAUGUAAGAUAGAUUCUUGCAGCCCUUA